RNAcentral lists this ribosomal RNA (252 nucleotides) under uncultured Bacteroidales bacterium. RNAcentral describes it as "partial 16S ribosomal RNA". It matches the Rfam family "Bacterial small subunit ribosomal RNA", at positions 524 to 776 of the family's 1533-position model. Lineage: Bacteria; Pseudomonadati; Bacteroidota; Bacteroidia; Bacteroidales. The record is from RNAcentral.
UACGGAGGAUGCGAGCGUUAUCCGGAUUUAUUGGGUUUAAAGGGUGCGUAGGCGGUCCGGAAAGUCAGCGGUAAAAGCCCGGGGCUCACCCCCGGCGAGCCGUUGAAACUGUCGGACUAGAGACGGCGAGAAGUACGCGGAAUGCGCGGUGUAGCGGUGAAAUGCAUAGAUAUCGCGCAGAACCCCGAUUGCGAAGGCAGCAUACCGGUGCACAACUGACGCUCAGGCACGAAAGCGUGGGUAUCGAACAGG